RNAcentral lists this ribosomal RNA (253 nucleotides) under uncultured bacterium. Its description in RNAcentral is "partial 16S ribosomal RNA". It matches the Rfam family "Bacterial small subunit ribosomal RNA", at positions 524 to 776 of the family's 1533-position model. The record is from RNAcentral.
UACGUAGGGUGCAAGCGUUGUCCGGAAUUAUUGGGCGUAAAGAGCUCGUAGGCGGUUUGUUGCGUCGGCUGUGAAAUCCCGAGGCUCAACCUCGGGUCUGCAGUCGAUACGAGCAAACUAGAGUGUUGCAGGGGAGACUGGAAUUCCUGGUGUAGCGGUGAAAUGCGCAGAUAUCAGGAGGAACACCGGUGGCGAAGGCGGUUCUCUGGGCCUGUACUGACGCUGAGGUGCGAAAGCGUGGGGAGCAAACAGG